This is a long non-coding RNA of Drosophila ananassae, 607 nucleotides long. RefSeq lists it as uncharacterized. The record is from RefSeq and is a predicted model, not a curated record. The transcript has 2 exons. Lineage: Eukaryota; Metazoa; Arthropoda; Insecta; Diptera; Drosophilidae.
GAAUUCGCCGCGACUAUCGUGUUUAGUGGUGGAUGUUCUCCCUUCACAAAAAUUAAAGAAUACUUACUGAUUAUGUUUUUCAGGGAUUUGUUCGAGAGCUUGAAACUAUAUGGUGUGGCUUUAACAACUUGCAAUAGUUAUGAGGGAAAUGAGGACCUGAGAAGUCCUCAUGAGAAGUCAACAUUGACGUUAGAAUCAACGCCGUCUGCUUCCCGAUAUUUUUUAUAUUUAAAAAAUUGUGGUAUUGUGGACACUAUGUGGAAGGGUCACACUAACAGAAACUUCCAGAAGUAGGAUCUGGUUGUAUGUAUAACGGUGAAGGAGGUGGUGGUGAUAAGAACUCAUAGGGAGCAUGGGUAUAUUACUUUUAUUGGAUUUGAUGUACUUUGUACGAGUACUGUAAGUACACAAUCAUCGCUAUGGAGAGGGUUAGAGAAGGCGCUACAGGAGAGUAGUGGGGGACCAGAACCAGGAGACGGAAGUCUCUGCUGGACUUGGUCUUCCCACUAUCCAGCAACCUCCGUCUGGCUUAGAACUAAGUACAUAUUUUUAAACAAAAUAAAAAUUCAAUAAUAAUUACACGAAAUAAAAAAAAAAAAGACACGUA